CACGCCCUAAACGAUGCUAACUCGACGUACGGGAGUAAUUUUGUGCGUCCAAGCGAAAGCGAUAAGUUAGCCACCUGGGGAGUACGUUCGCAAGAAUGAAACUCAAAGGAAUUGACGGGG
Molecule: ribosomal RNA, 120 nt
Filed under: uncultured bacterium
Lineage: Bacteria
Description: partial 16S ribosomal RNA
Rfam family: Bacterial small subunit ribosomal RNA
Source: RNAcentral